CGCGGUAAUUCCAGCUCCAAUAGCGUAUACUAAAGUGUUGCAGUUAAAAAGCUCGUAGUUGGAUUUCUGGCGGGGACGGCUGGUCGGUCUCGAAAGGGGCUGUACUGUUGUUGGUUCCCGUCAUCCUUGGGGAGAGCGGCUCUUACAUUAAGUUGUCGGCGUCGGGAUCCCUAUCUUUUACUGUGAAAAAAUUAGAGUGUUCAAGGCAGGCUUAGGCCCUGAAUACAUUAGCAUGGAAUAAUAAGAUACGACCUUGGUGGUCUAUUUUGUUGGUUUGCACGCCAAGGUAAUGAUUAAUAGGGAUAGUUGGGGGUAUUCGUAUUCAAUUGUCAGAGGUGAAAUUCCUGGAUUUAUGGAAGACGAACUACUGCGAAAGCAUUUACCAAGGAUGUUUUCAUUAAUCAAGAACGAAAGUUAGGGGAUCGAAGAUGAUUAGAUACCAUCGUAGUCUUAACCAUAAACUAUGCCGACUAGGGAUCGGUGGGUGCAUUUUUAGGCCUCAUCGGCACCUUAUGAGAAAUCAAAGUCUUUGGGUUCCGGGGGGAGUAUGGUCGCAAGGCUGAAACUUAAAGAAAUUGACGG
Molecule: ribosomal RNA, 582 nt
Filed under: uncultured Eustigmatophyceae
Lineage: Eukaryota; Eustigmatophyceae
Description: SSU rRNA
Rfam family: Eukaryotic small subunit ribosomal RNA
Source: RNAcentral